UACGUAGGGUGCAAGCGUUGUCCGGAAUUAUUGGGCGUAAAGAGCUCGUAGGCGGUUCGUCGCGUCGGCUGUGAAAACCCGGAGCUCAACUCCGGGCCUGCAGUCGAUACGGGCGGACUAGAGUUCGGCAGGGGAGACUGGAAUUCCUGGUGUAGCGGUGAAAUGCGCAGAUAUCAGGAGGAACACCGGUGGCGAAGGCGGGUCUCUGGGCCGAUAUUGACGCUGAGGAGCGAAAGCGUGGGGAGCAAACAGG
This 253-nucleotide ribosomal RNA is filed under the name uncultured bacterium. RNAcentral describes it as "partial 16S ribosomal RNA". It matches the Rfam family "Bacterial small subunit ribosomal RNA", at positions 524 to 776 of the family's 1533-position model. The record is from RNAcentral.